This 71-nucleotide transfer RNA is filed under the name Phrynosoma platyrhinos (Desert horned lizard). RNAcentral describes it as "tRNA-OTHER". Lineage: Eukaryota; Metazoa; Chordata; Lepidosauria; Squamata; Phrynosomatidae. The record is from RNAcentral.
ACCAGUGUAGCAUAGUGGUUUGAGUGUUGGACUAUGACUCUGGAGACCAGGGUUCGAAUCCUGACUUGGCC